RNA transcript from Nerophis lumbriciformis (worm pipefish), 3698 nucleotides. It is a transcript of the gene named exocyst complex component 1, with no coding region annotated. The record is from RefSeq and is a predicted model, not a curated record. Lineage: Eukaryota; Metazoa; Chordata; Actinopteri; Syngnathiformes; Syngnathidae.
GGUCACGUGACGUGGUUUCUGCCAGACCAGGAAGUGGGAGCCUGAGGGCGGUGCUUGCUUGGUGGAUGUCUGAUGAUGGUGGUGUUGGGCUAGACUCAAACAAGCAUCCAUCAUGACAGCCAUCAAGCACGCUCUCCAGAGGGACAUCUUCACGCCCAAUGACGAGCGUUUACUCGGCAUUGUGAACGUCUGUAAGGCAGGGAAGAAGAAAAAGAACUGCUUUUUGUGUGCGACGGUCACCACCGAGCGGCCCGUGCAGGUCAAAGUAGUCAAGGUGAAGAAAUCUGACAAAGGAGACUUUUACAAACGACAGCUGACCUGGGAGCUUCGCGACCUGACGGAAGUGGACGCCAAAGAUGCAAGCAAGGAAAAUCCCGAAUUUGACCUUCACUUUGAGAAGGUGUACCGCUGGGUGGCCAGCAGCGCCGCAGAGAAGAACUCGUUCAUCUCCUGCAUCUGGAAGCUGAACCAGCGCUACUUGAGGAAGAAGGUGGAGUUUGUCAAUGUCAGUUCCCAGCUGCUGGAAGAACUUCCUAAAGCGGAAGAGUCUGUGCCUAGUGGCGAGAGCCAGAAUGUUGCCGGCGGUGAUGAAGAUGCUCUGGAUGACUACCAGGAGCUAAGUGCCCGUGAGGAGCAGGACAUCGAGAGCAUGAUGGAAAUGUGCAACUACGCCAUCUCCAAUGCUGAGGCCUUUACAGAGCAGCUCUCUAGGGAGCUGCAGGUGCUAGAUGGGGCCAAUAUCCAGUCCAUCAUGGCAUCAGAGAAACAGGUCAACAUCCUGAUGAAGCUGCUGGAUGAGGCCCUAGGCGAGGUGGAUACCAUCGAGGGCAAGCUGAGCAGCUACGAGGAGAUGCUGCAGAGUGUCAAGGAGCAGAUGGACCAGAUCUCGCAGAGCAACCGCCUCAUCCAAAUCAGUAACACCAACAACGGCAAACUGCUGGACGAGAUCCAGUUCUUAGUGCACAACAUGGACCUCUCUAAGGGACACAUCAGAGCCCUGCAAGAUGGAGACCUGUCCUCCCCGAAAGGCAUCGAGGCUUGUAUCAACGCUGCCGAAGCCCUUUUGCAGUGCAUGAACGUGGCCCUGCUUCCCGGCCACGACAAGCUGAUGGCCGUAAAGCAGCAGCAGCACCUUUUUACAGAGCUGAGAGACACGUUUGCUCGCCGCCUCACCAAUCACCUCAACAACGUGUUUGUGCACCAGGGCUACGACCAGAGCUCCACACUGUCCCAGCACACCGUAGAGCUGACCCUGCCCAAACACAGCCCCCUCCACCGGGACCUCCUGCGCUACGCCAAGCUCAUGGAGUGGCUGAAGAACACCCACAGGGAGAAAUAUGAGGGCUUGUCAAGGACCUAUGUGGACUACAUGAGUCGACUGUAUGAGCGAGAAAUCAAAGACUUCUUUGAGAUUGCCAAGAUAAAGAUGGCGGGAACAAGCAAAGAGGCCAAGGGCAAGUUUGCCACGCUUCCGCGGAAAGAGAGUGCACUCAAACAGGAGACGGAAACACAUUUGCACUCAGGCCUUCAUGGCAGUUCAGGGAAGCUGACAGGCUCCACGUCCAGCCUGAACAAGCUGACCGUGCAAGGGGCCAACAGCCGGCGUUCCCAGUCGUCCUCGCUGCUGGACAUGGGAAACAUGUCUGCCUCGGACCUGGACGUGGCCGACCGCACCAAGUUUGACAAGAUCUUUGAGCAGGUCCUAAGUGAACUGGAGCCUCUGUGCCUCGCAGAGCAAGACUUUGUCACCAAGUUUUUCAAGCUGCAGCAGCAGCACACGACCGUAUCGCCUCCUCUUGCUCAGCCGGAGGCAGAGGAAUCGGAUGGCAGCACGCCAUCAAGAAUGCCUCCCCAGGCAGAACACAGACACUCUUUGUCAUCAGACAAAGACGUGGUGCGGCUGAUGAUGAAUAAAAUCUUCCAGAGCAUCGAGACGGAGCUUAACAGCCUCAUCGCUUUGGGGGACAAGAUUGACAGCUUCCACUCGCUGUACAUGCUGGUGAAAAUGAGUCACCACGUGUGGACAGCCGAGAACGUGGACCCGGCCUCUUACCUCAGCACCACGUUGGGAAACGUCUUGGUCACCGUCAAAAGGAACUUUGACAAAUGCAUCUCCGGUCAGAUAAGGCAAAUGGAAGAGGUGAAAAUAUCCAAGAAGAGCAAAGUGGGAAUCCUGCCUUUUGUCACCGGCUUUGAAGAGUUUGCAGAGUUGGCUGAAACCAUCUUCCGGAAUGCGGAGCGCCGAGGGGACCUGGAUAAAGCCUACGUCAAACUUAUCAGGGCGGUCUUCAUGAACGUGGAGAAGGUGGCCAAUGAAAGCCAGAAGACGCCGCGGGAUGUUGUGAUGAUGGAGAACUUCCACCACAUCUUUUCCACGCUGUCCCGACUGAAGAUCUCUUGUCUGGAAGCAGAGAGGCGAGAUGCCAAGUACAAGUACACUGACCACUUGCAGUCCUAUGUCAUCAACUCCUUGGGCCAGCCUCUGGAAAAACUCAACCAUUUCUUUGAGGGGGUAGAAGCCCGCGUGGCGCAAGGCGUCCGGGAGGAGGAGGUGAGCUACCAGCUGGCCUUCAACAAGCAAGAACUACGCAAGGUCAUCAAAGAAUACCCUGGCAAAGAGGUUAAAAAGGGUCUAGAUAACCUCUACAAGAAGGUUGACAAACACUUGUGUGAAGAGGAGAGUCUUCUACAGGUGGUGUGGCACUCCACACAAGACGAGUUCAUCCGCCAGUACAAGCACUUUGAAGAUUUGAUCGGCAGAUGUUAUCCUGGAUCUGGAAUCACCAUGGAGUUCACAAUUCAGGACAUGCUGGAGUAUUUCUCCAGUAUCGCUCAGUCGCAUUAAUUUAACCCUGCUGCCAUCCAGUCUGACCAGAACAAUGACUCACUACUGCCACACGCUGGCUGAACCUACAACAGUCGGCAUAUUCCCAGCCAUGCCAACAGCUGAUCUUAGUCCUCGACUUUCUUCUCCAGCAUGGCUAUACCGGCGUUGGAAUGGACGAGCUUCAUAGAGCCCUGGCUGAACAAGCAUGUGUCGGACAUUUCGGUCUUCUUAGAUCAUGGGUGUCAAACUCAUUUUUAGCUCAGGAGACCACAUGGAGGAAAAUCUCUCCCCAAGUGAGCUGAAUUGGUAAAAUCAUGGCGUGAUAACUUAAAAAUAAAGACAACUUCAGAUUGUUCACUUUGUUCAAAAAAUAGACCCAGCACAUUCUGAAAAAUGACAAAUCAUAAUGUUUGUUUGUUUUUUACACUUACAUUUUGUGGUUAGUAGUAUUCUAUCCUCACUUGUCGUUAUUUACACUUUCUGAAUAAAUGAUGUGAUAAUGUUCUUCAGUUAAAUAGGUUGAAUUAGUGAGUGUGACUGUUGUCUGUCUGUCUGUGUUGGCCCUGCGAUGAAGUGGCGACUUGUCCGCCCGAAUGCAGCUGAGAUAGGCUCCAGUACGCCCCGCAACCCCGAAAGGGACAAGCAGUAGAAAAUGGAUGGAUGGAUAGUGCAGAUGGGUUAGUUAAAGUUAAAGUACCGAUGAUUGUCACACACACAAGGUGUGGUGAAAUUUGUCCUCUGCAUUUGACCCAUCCCCUUGUUCACCCCCUGGGAGGUGAGGGGAGCAGUGAGCAGCAGCGGUGCCGCACCCGGGAAUCAUUUUUGGGGAUUUAACCCCCAAUUCCAACCCUUGAUGCUGAGUGCCAAGCAG